ACUUCGCACCAUUUUAAACAUCCGCAACAAUCCGCAUCCGCAUCCGAAAACAUCCACACCUGCUCCGCAUCCGCUUAAAAAAUAUGGUUUAGAAUACGGUAUGACAACUAUCCAUCCGAAUCCGCUCCGUUAACACCCCUACAUCCUCCAUCCUAAAAAUAGAGGGUGAAAAGUAAAAAUUGAGCUCCAGCAAAAUAUCCGUCUCAUCUUCUAUUUUUAGAUGUCAUCCAUAUUUGAAGAGAGAUCGAAACUUUAUAUUUGGAUGUUCUCUCUCCAUCCUCCAAAGAAAUAUAGAGGAUGUCGUAUAUGGAUGAUCAAUGUUCUGAAGUACAAAUAGAUAUGAAUGAUGAAACUGUUUUAGAUGAUAAUUCAAAUAAAAAUAUAAAUGAUUAAAUUUAGAUGAUCUGAAGAUGACGUAAGAAACAGCAGUAGCACAAAUUGGCAAGUCGAGCGGACCAGCCUCCCUCCGUUGGGAGACCAUCAAGGGCGCCUGAGGAGACCAGCCGCCGUCGGGAAUGACGGGAGCGUGAUGUGUAGCCACCGCAUGCAUGCGUGUGGAUUGAAAUGGGGAAAUUUUUGUGGGGAAUUUAACUAUAUAAAAUUUAUCAUGCGUGUAGAAUUUUUAACUAUAUAUAUGAAUAUAGUUCAAUAUAUAUUGUUUUACCAAAUUAAUUUACUAUAUUUCAAGUGUAUUGUAAUUGCGUAAAAAAUAACGAGAGUGCAUAUAUUAUUGUGCUUUUCUUGUCCAGGUCACCGAAAAAUUCAUUUAUAAGAGUUUGAUGUUUGUGGAUAAAUGAAAAUAAUAUUUAUAAUGCAGGAUAUUGAUUAUGGAUGAAAAUAAGCCAUAUUAAUUUUUUCUAUGACAGAAGCAGUGGAGAAGCCUGCAGCAGCAGUGAAACUUCUUUCACUCCAUUUUUUUUUUGGAUUUUUCUCAAAUUCUUUUUGUCAUUUCAUUUGCUACGUGUAAGGGGCUUAUAAAUUACUGCUCGCAUGUCUCGGCGUUAGAUAUGAAAAUACCAUUGAACGCAUGCCCUUCCUUGAAGGUCUGAAUCCGAUUAAUAUUUGAUGAUGUAUUAGUGAAUGUCUCACACCUCCCAAUCAAGUUAGAAUUGCAGCAAAACUAUUGAAUUUACAGUAGGUCCAAUUGAUUGCAAAAUAUUCGGAUACCCAUACCCCCAAUCAUAAAUAAAGUACUAGCCAUUCUGCAAGAAGAUACGGUACAACUAAUAUAUAUGGUUAAAACUACUCCCUCCGCUCUCCACGAUAUAAAACUUUCUAGCAUUUCAUAUGUUCUGGAUGCUAAUGUAUCUAGACACGUAUACAAACCAUAUAUGUCAAUCAAUGAAUCUACAAAUAUAUAAACCAUAUACAAUGAUCGAUGGAUGAAUCUAAACAAGACCAAUAAAUCUUACUGUAGAACGUGAGAGUACAUAUAUAUAUAUAUAUAUAUAUACAUAUAUAUAUAUAUAUAUACAGAAGUGCAGACUGAAGGCAGUUAAGGACCAUAAGAUGUCCAUGUCCAUAUAAAUGAACACCACAGUGGUUGGAAACCAUCCUGUUUCCUAAACACCAAGAUAUCAUCAUAUCUCAUAACUAGAAUCAGGGAGAAACCUGUUUGAGUGGUUGAGCUCGCAGGCUUAGGAGACACCGGGAGCGAAGGUUAUGCAUAAUCUCACUUGCUUGCCAUUGCAUCUGUCUCUUUACAUAGAAUUCCUAUGGAACGAAGUGAUCUCCAUGAUCAGAAGGUGCACCUCGGUGUGUUGGUGUUUGGUUUAUGCC
This 1779-nucleotide long non-coding RNA is filed under the name Oryza brachyantha (malo sina). Its description in RNAcentral is "long non-coding RNA (OBRA_LNC001949)". Lineage: Eukaryota; Viridiplantae; Streptophyta; Magnoliopsida; Poales; Poaceae. The record is from RNAcentral.